UCCCUUUUGAUAUUGAGAAGCAGCAUAUAAAUUUGGCACACUCAGCAAGAAACAGAUUUGUAGAGAUAAUAAUGGUACUUGGUUGGGUUACAUGGUAGGAAAGGAACUGGGAUUUUCACUUACUUCCCUUUCAUUCAUAACCCAUGUCCUAACUCUUUUGUGGGCUACAUUUUAAAGGAACAGAGUUUUUCAUUUUUGCCAUACAUUUGUAAGUGUUUUUUCCUCCAAAUCACUGGCAGUUUUUCAUUAUUUCUGCCUAAGACAAUGUCUGUUUCCUGGAAGCUAUACUCAUGGGUGUUUACAGGAUGCUGGAAUUUGGACUCCAGGCGUCAUGAUUGCACAAUCAACAGAAGAGAUUCUUGUGUCCUACAGACCAAAGAAAGAAUCAGCAGGAAUGCCCAGGGUGAAUGAUGGAUUGCAGAGCCUGGCUGAACUCAACAAAAAUCCAGUGGGAGGCUUUUUAGCAGGUUUAAUAGACGACAAUGAUCUCUAUUGUUGGGAAGUCCUUAUUAUUGGUCCUCCAGAUACACUUUAUGAAGGUGGUGUUUUUAAGGCUUAUCUCAUUUUCCCAAAAGAUUAUCCCCUCCGGCCUCCUAAAAUGAAAUUCAUUACAGAUAUUUGGCCCCCAAAUGGCAACCUUCCUCUGAUUUGGAACAAAAUAAAAACAGGCUGGUCUUCCCUUGUACCUGACACAGGCAAAUUGAGCUGGCCCAGACAGCAGAGCUCUGUAAGGCAUGUUGAUAUUGAUUGCUUCUUUGUCUCAGGGGCUAUAAGAAAUAUAACAGAUCUCAAAGAAAAACAGUGGCUCUGUCAGCAACUAUGGCACAGGAAGGUCACCUUUUCAUCGUGGUGCUAACAUCCAACUGGAGUGGCAGUAUUACCAAAAUAAAAUCCUGAAAGGAGAAGCAGACAGGAAAACUCGAAGAUCUCAGGGAAGUCUGUUUUUUGAAGUGUUCAGGAACGAGAGGUGUUUUAUUAUCUUUAGUGUGAUGUUUUCUACCAUUUUUGUACGAGGAGUUUUUCCUGUGUUGAAUUUUGGUUCUUAAGUUGGAAAGUAAAGCAACCUAGUAAUAUUCUU
This is an RNA transcript of Apodemus sylvaticus (European woodmouse), 1078 nucleotides long. RefSeq lists it as uncharacterized. The transcript has 8 exons. NCBI's taxonomy places the organism in Eukaryota, Metazoa, Chordata, Mammalia, Rodentia, Muridae. The record is from RefSeq and is a predicted model, not a curated record.